GUUUGAUCCUGGCUCAGGACGAACGCUGGCGGCGUGCCUAAUACAUGCAAGUCGAACGCUUCUUUCCUCCCGAGUGCUUGCACUCAAUUGGAAAGAGGAGUGGCGGACGGGUGAGUAACACGUGGGUAACCUACCCAUCAGAGGGGGAUAACACUUGGAAACAGGUGCUAAUACCGCAUAACAGUUUAUGCCGCAUGGCAUAAGAGUGAAAGGCGCUUUCGGGUGUCGCUGAUGGAUGGACCCGCGGUGCAUUAGCUAGUUGGUGAGGUAACGGCUCACCAAGGCCACGAUGCAUAGCCGACCUGAGAGGGUGAUCGGCCACACUGGUGGACUGAGACACGAGCCCAGUACUAGCACUACGGGUAGCGCAUGCAGUAGACCGCCGAAUCUUACGGAGGCAAUAGGAUCUCGCAUGACGAGUCUGACCGAGCAACGCCGCGUGAGUGAAGAAGGUUUUCGGAUUGUAAAACUCUGUUGUUAGAGAAGAACAAGGACGUUAGUAACUGAACGUCCCCUGACGGUAUCUAACCAGAAAGCCACGGCUAACAACGUGCCAGCAGCCGCGGUAAUACGUAGGUGGCAAGCGUUGUCCGGAUUUAUUGGGCGUAAAGCGAGCGCAGGCGGUUUCUUAAGUCUGAUGUGAAAGCCCCCGGCUCAACCGGGGAGGGUCAUUGGAAACUGGGAGACUUGAGUGCAGAAGAGGAGAGUGGAAUUCCAUGUGUAGCGGUGAAAUGCGUAGAUAUAUGGAGGAACACCAGUGGCGAAGGCGGAUCUCUGGUCUGUAACUGACGCUGAGGCUCGAAAGCGUGGGAAGCAAACAGGAUUAGAUACCCUGGUAGUCCACGCCGUAAACGAUGAGUGCUAGUGUGUUGGAGGGUUUCCGCCCUUCAGUGCUGCAGCAAACGCAUUAAGCACUCCGCCUGGGGAGUACGACCGCAAGGUUGAAACUCAAAGGAAUUGACGGGGGCCCGCACAAGCGGUGGAAGCAUGGUGGUUUAAUUCGAAGCAACGCGAAGAACCUUACCAGGUCUUGACAUCCUUUGACCACUCUAGAGAUAGAGCUUCCCCUUCGGGGACAAAGUGACAGGUGGUGCAUGGUUGUCGUCAGCUCGUGUCGUGAGAUGUUGGGUUAAGUCCCGCAACGAGCGCAACCCUUAUCCUUUGUUGCCAGCGGUCGCGAGCUCGGGAACUGCAGAACGGAGACGUGGAUACUCAGUGAUAAACUGGAGGAGAGGUGGGGAUGACGUCAAGUCAUCAAUGGGCCCUCUACAAUGAAACGCAGGGCUACACACGUGCUACAAUGGCGCAUACAAAGAGAAGCGACCUCGCGAGAGCAAGCGGACCUCAUAAAGUGCGUCGUAGUCUGGAUUGGAGUCUGCAACUCGACUCCAUGAAGUCGGAAUCGCUAGUAAUCGUGGAUCAGAAUGCCACGGUGAAUACGUUCCCGGGCCUUGUACACACCGCCCGUCACACCAUGGGAGUGGGUUGCAAAAGAAGUAGGUAGCUUAACCUUCGGGAGGGCGCUUACCACUUUGUGAUUCAUGACUGGGGUGAAGUCGUAACAAGGUAACC
This 1572-nucleotide ribosomal RNA is filed under the name uncultured bacterium. Its description in RNAcentral is "partial 16S ribosomal RNA". It matches the Rfam family "Bacterial small subunit ribosomal RNA". The record is from RNAcentral.